GCCGCCAGGCGACGGCCAGGGCCGGGCCUCCCCUGCCCACCGUGCGCUUCUCCGGCGCCGCGGGCCUCAGCGGGGGCCUGGGGAGGACGUGACAGGGCUCCGCACGAGGCGGCCUCUGGGGAACUGGGGUCCGGGGAGACCCAGGCUUCACUCUCCGCCCGCCGGGACCCUCGGAGGCGCCUCCGCGUGGUCAGGCAGCGUCGGGGCGCCGUCGCUUCCCCUCUCCCUUUUCCCGCGAGGAAUCUUCCGAUAAUUCUGCCGCCACCACUUUGACUGCGCGCGAGGCGAGCUCGAAACAAACAUCACAUCUAAAUUAAAAAAAAAAAAAAAAGAAGCGGAA
Non-coding RNA from Microcebus murinus (gray mouse lemur), 340 nucleotides. NCBI's taxonomy places the organism in Eukaryota, Metazoa, Chordata, Mammalia, Primates, Cheirogaleidae. The record is from RefSeq and is a predicted model, not a curated record.